GACGAACGCUGGCGGCGUGCUUAACACAUGCAAGUCGAACGGAAAGGCCCUGCUUUUGUGGGGUGCUCGAGUGGCGAACGGGUGAGUAACACGUGAGUAACCUGCCCUUGACUUUGGGAUAACUUCAGGAAACUGGGGCUAAUACCGGAUAGGGGCUCCUGCUGCAUGGUGGGGGUUGGAAAGUUUCGGCGGUUGGGGAUGGACUCGCGGCUUAUCAGCUUGUUGGUGGGGUAGUGGCUUACCAAGGCUUUGACGGGUAGCCGGCCUGAGAGGGUGACCGGCCACAUUGGGACUGAGAUACGGCCCAGACUCCUACGGGAGGCAGCAGUGGGGAAUAUUGCACAAUGGGCGGAAGCCUGAUGCAGCAACGCCGCGUGCGGGAUGACGGCCUUCGGGUUGUAAACCGCUUUCGCCUGUGACGAAGCGUGAGUGACGGUAAUGGGUAAAGAAGCACCGGCUAACUACGUGCCAGCAGCCGCGGUGAUACGUAGGGUGCGAGCGUUGUCCGGAUUUAUUGGGCGUAAAGGGCUCGUAGGUGGUUGAUCGCGUCGGAAGUGUAAUCUUGGGGCUUAACCCUGAGCGUGCUUUCGAUACGGGUUGACUUGAGGAAGGUAGGGGAGAAUGGAAUCCCUGGUGGAGCGGUGGAAUGCGCAGAUAUCAGGAGGAACACCAGUGGCGAAGGCGGUUCUCUGGGCCUUUCCUGACGCUGAGGAGCGAAAGCGUGGGGAGCGAACAGGCCUAGAUACCCUGGUAGUCCACGCUGUAAACGGUGGGUACUAGGUGUGGGGUCCAUUCCACGGGUUCCGUGCCGUAGCUAACGCUUUAAGUACCCCGCCUGGGGAGUACGGCCGCAAGGCUAAAACUCAAAGGAAUUGACGGGGCCCCGCACAAGCGGCGGAGCAUGCGGAUUAAUUCGAUGCAACGCGUAGAACCUUACCUGGGUUUGACAUGGAUCGGGAGUGCUCAGAGAUGGGUGUGCCUCUUUUGGGGUCGGUUCACAGGUGGUGCAUGCCUGUCGUCAGCUCGUGUCGUGAGAUGUUGGGUUAAGUCCCGCAACGAGCGCAACCCUUGUUCACUGUUGCCAGCACGUUAUGGUGGGGACUCAGUGGAGACCGCCGGGGUCAACUCGGAGGAAGGUGGGGAUGACGUCAAGUCCUCAUGCCCCUUAUGUCCAGGGCUUCACGCAUGCUACAAUGGCUGGUACAGAGAGUGGCGAGCCUGUGAGGGUGAGCGAAUCUCGGAAAGCCGGUCUCAGUUCGGAUUGGGGUCUGCAACUCGACCUCAUGAAGUCGGAGUCGCUAGUAAUCGCAGAUCAGCAACGCUGCGGUGAAUACGUUCCCGGG
RNAcentral lists this ribosomal RNA (1343 nucleotides) under uncultured bacterium. RNAcentral describes it as "16S ribosomal RNA". It matches the Rfam family "Bacterial small subunit ribosomal RNA", at positions 28 to 1378 of the family's 1533-position model. The record is from RNAcentral.